Spea bombifrons (plains spadefoot toad) is the source of this 90-nucleotide long non-coding RNA. RefSeq lists it as uncharacterized. NCBI's taxonomy places the organism in Eukaryota, Metazoa, Chordata, Amphibia, Anura, Pelobatidae. The record is from RefSeq and is a predicted model, not a curated record. The transcript is spliced from 2 exons.
AUUGGGGUUAUGCUACAUUAUUGGCAAUGUCUGGCUCAAUGUAUAGUGAUAGGUGUUAUGCUGUACCCCUGUCAAUGGUAUGCAGUUUUU